GAUGAAGAACGUAGCGAAAUGCGAUAAGUAAUGUGAAUUGCAGAAUUCAGUGAAUCAUCGAAUCUUUGAACGCACAUUGCGCCCGCCGGUAUUCCGGCGGGCAUGCCUGUCCGAGCGUCAUUGCUGCCCUCAAGCACGGCUUGUGUGUUGGGCCCCGUCCUCCUUCCGGGGGACGGGUCCGAAAGGCAGCGGCGGCACCGCGUCCGGUCCUCAAGCGUAUGGGGCUUUGUCACUCGCUUUGUAGGCCUGGCCGGCGCUUGCCGAUCAACCAAACUUUUUAUCAGGUUGACCUCGGAUCAGGUAGGGAUACCCGCUGAACUUAAGCAUAUCAAUAAGCGGAGGA
RNAcentral lists this unclassified non-coding RNA (343 nucleotides) under soil metagenome. RNAcentral's name for it is "partial contains 5.8S ribosomal RNA, internal transcribed spacer 2, and large subunit ribosomal RNA". The stretch from base 1 to 120 matches the Rfam family "5.8S ribosomal RNA", at positions 35 to 154 of the family's 154-position model. The record is from RNAcentral.